Molecule: unclassified non-coding RNA, 379 nt
Filed under: Ozothamnus bidwillii
Lineage: Eukaryota; Viridiplantae; Streptophyta; Magnoliopsida; Asterales; Asteraceae
Description: partial external transcribed spacer
Source: RNAcentral
GGUUGGCUCUUUGCUUGCGCAACAACUUCCACCUGGCAUACCUCUUCAGUUUUUGUGUCAAUGCUUGUUUCGCAUUGAUUGCACGGUGGGUUUCUUGUGUUGCAUGCCUAAUUGAUGGUAUCAUUUGACGAAUCGRUAUCUAUUUUCAUCUUGUGUCGCGCAUGCGAUGUGAGAUGAACCUUAAAGCAACCUUUGUGAUCCACUGUUUUGAUGCACACGCAUCGAUUUUGUGGCUCAUUGAGUGUUUGCUUGGUCUCAUGGAUAUGGAACCUUGUGUGGGCAUGUGAUCUUUUAGUAGCUCCUUGUUUGCCCUUGUUAAGCUUUUCAAAUACGAUUUCCUAUCAUGUUCUAACAUGGUAGGCUAUAUCGAAUAUGAAUG